Varanus komodoensis (Komodo dragon) is the source of this 2920-nucleotide RNA transcript. It is a transcript of the gene named GPI-linked NAD(P)(+)--arginine ADP-ribosyltransferase 1-like, with no coding region annotated. The transcript has 2 exons. NCBI's taxonomy places the organism in Eukaryota, Metazoa, Chordata, Lepidosauria, Squamata, Varanidae. The record is from RefSeq and is a predicted model, not a curated record.
AGCUGGCACCCAUUCCAAGCAGGCUUCACAUCGCUACUCCUUUUAUAUGGCAUCAGAUUAAGGGGCAGCGAGCUUCCACCAACCGGCAGCAGGACCCACCUUGGCAGCGGAGUCGGUUCUUCUUGCUUUGGAAAAAAGACGGAGGCCCUGCAGGGGGCGGCUUCUUUUGCUGCAGCCACUUCCGCUAAAGCAGAGAAUUCCAGCCCGACCUGCGUCUUUUGUUAUUCACUUCUGCGGAACCCGUUUUUUUAACACAAAGCACCAACUUUAAGAUCAUAACACCCUGAGUUAGGACACCUUUUGUCCUGGUCUGCUUGGAAGGAUCUCAUGGGACAGGGAACCAGAGUCAAGCGUGCUCACCCAGAGCACAAUGGGGUGGGAGCUUGGCAGGUUUACUUUUGAUUCCUCUCCUAAUUCUGCCCACCAUGGUGGCGGCGUCGGCGUCGGCGUCCUGUGCCGUCAGGGCACCUCUGACUUCGGCGAGCCCUCGGAAAUGUCCUGCCCGGGCCUCCUAAGUUCAAGGAUGCGGCUUCCUCCACGGAGUCCAUCCACCUCCUGCCUGGUGCCCAGCGGGGACCUCGCCGCCUCCUCCGCCUCCCUCCAGAAGGUCGCUGUUGAUCAGCCGGCCCGCCUUGGCCCCAGGAGCUUCUCCGGGGCCAGUCGCUUCCAGCGCAUUCCCGGUCCGCCUGUGCACGGUCAGGAGCCGGGCCCCAGCUUCCGCCACGCUGCGCUGUGCCCGCGGCAGUUGCGGCACCAGGGGGCUGGCUCUGCAGGGCGUGAAGUCGCUUCGCUUCUCCUCCCCAGCCAGAUCCGCCCCGGCACCCGAUUCUGCUUUAUUCCCCCUUUCGCAUCCCGCUCACGUGGGAUGACCAGCAGGUCAGCACUGGAAGCAGAAGUCUUACAUGGCUUUCCUUCUGACAACUCCCCAGCUCCUGCACCUAAAUUCUGGCCAGGUUCUGGCCUAGGGCCACCCCUGCGAGGUUGGCCAGAAGCAACAAAGAGCGGGGAAAGCAACGCAAAUCUGUCCCCGUUCACAAAACCCUUUCUGAGAUUGUGCAGGCCUCUUAGUGCCGCCGCUGCGUUGUGCGCUGUUUUGAUCACAGCACGCACAAGCCACGCACGGGGGGAAGCACGCGCUCCUUCGGAUUCUCCGAUCCGAAUCCUGAUUCCCUGUGAUUUGUGUGUUCUGCAUGCAGCUCGAAGGGGAGCGCGGGAGGCCGAGCACACCCUUGCCAGACACCUUGGCCCCUGGGGAGCCACAUUCUGUCCUCACAGUGGCUUCCUGUCCACGCUUCUGGCUCCGCAUCGAGUCAAUCGGGCUUCGAUCUGGUGGCUUCAUGAGAGACGGCGCCGUCUGUCCUUCUCUUUUGCUUUUCCCCAGGAGCUUUCGGAGCGCCUUUGACCCGGAGGCCUUCUCGCCUGUUUCAUUCUCGAUUGCUUCAUCUUCGUAGUUUCAAGGUGCGGCCAUGAGGACCUGGUCUCUCCGGAUUGUCCUGGCGCUGCCGUGGAUGGGGCUCUUCACAGGAGGCUGCCAGGUAUGACGGGAGCCCAGAGGGAAAGCAGGGGACUCGAGUCCACAGGGAAACACUCCGCUCUUCCCACCUGGUCCCAGGUCAUCUCCAGCUGCGGUGCGCCGGUGAAGGAGGGCACCCACGGCGACCUGUCCUUCACGGCCCGGCUCACUGCCCUUCCUUGAUGGAGCAAAUCCUUCCCAGACUGGUCUUCCCCUCUUCUUCUGCCUAAAGCAGUUUGACAGCAGGAAAGCAACUUGCUUCUCGAUCAGCACAUGAACACGGGCAUCAAACACAGAAACUCAGAAAGAGAACGAGUCAGAAGGGGUCUCCCGGGCCAUCUAGUCUGACCCCGGCUCCAGCCGGCUCCGCUCAUGAGGUGCCCGCCAUGCGCAUGUCCAGCCUGUCCUUGAACAAGAUCUGGUAGUGAGAAAUCCAGAGGAGGAAGCCAAAUUCUGCAGGUGUCUGUGGCACUCAGAACAAACUUAGAGGAGCCUACGUCAAACUGUACGUUUCCCUGGCAUCUACACGCACUUUUAAAGAACAGUCCUCACUUUAAGGUUAUGACGAAGCACCCGGACCCCCCUAAAAAGAGCUUUCUUUAGAAAAUCAGUAUUCAGCACGUCUCUGCAAAAGGUGGGCUCUCGUCUCAGAAGCUUCGGUCGCUGAGCAACCAGCUGCCCAGGAACCCGGGUUCCUCGCCCCCCACCCCCAAUCCACCCUCCUGCCCAGGGUUGCCGGCUUCCCACGCUCUUGCUGGGAACUUUGUGCGGUGGGAAAAUGUGGGUGGGAGAACUGAGCCGGGGCAGCCCCCAUUCCUGCGGCACCUGCAGAAACAGCGGAGAGCCCUGAGCGCCCCUUCCCAGGGUGCCCUGAGGGGCCCAGGAGUGGGGGCUUGGGCAGUGGCCGCGGAGCCCCUUCGGGCGCCCUCUCUGCUCGGGCCUGCCUUCUCCCAGGGCGUGUGGGGAGGCCUGCCGGCCGCACCUCGCCCCCCGGUUUGCCCAGUCAGCCAGUGUCCUCUCCGGUCCCCUUUUGGCCAGAGGGAGAGUUGGGGGCCGCAGCAGCUCCUCCGCCCCAAAGCUGGCUGCACCAGGUCGACUGUGGGGCAGGAUGGGGCACUGUGGGCAUGACAGGCAGGCCAGGGGGCUUCCGUCACCGAGCGGCUGAUGUCCAGCUUUGCAGGGACGAUGCGCCCAAGGCCGCGCCAGGCCGGGGUGGCUGCCAGGCGUCCGGGGGAAGCGUCACCGCUCACGCUGGAUCCCGCCCGGUGCCUGGGGACGUGUGAGGAGCCUGGGCUCUCCUUCGCCCCGGACCCCCACCCGGGCUGACUCGGCCAGGGUCUGAGCUCCCGGGGGGCCCGCCCAGCAUUUGCACAGCGCCUGCCAGGAAUCGGGCCCCUUGCGCCCGCU